AGUCUAGGGGUGUUACACGUGGGAUUGCAAACCCCAAGAAGCAGGCGCAACCUGCCUAGGCUU
RNAcentral lists this transfer RNA (63 nucleotides) under Trachinocephalus myops (snakefish). RNAcentral describes it as "tRNA-Cys". The record is from RNAcentral. Lineage: Eukaryota; Metazoa; Chordata; Actinopteri; Aulopiformes; Synodontidae.